RNAcentral lists this long non-coding RNA (694 nucleotides) under Ursus americanus (American black bear). Its description in RNAcentral is "lncRNA (ENSUAMG00000014357.1)". Lineage: Eukaryota; Metazoa; Chordata; Mammalia; Carnivora; Ursidae. The record is from RNAcentral.
CAGGGACGGAGGUCAGGCUGCAGCAAGGCCUGCCCCCGCCGCAGGGUGGUGUUGGGUGUGGGGUCCGCUGGCGGGGUGGCCGGCUCAGCGUCUGGACCCCCGCCCCAGGUUCCCCUGUCUGGGUCCUGUUGUCAGCCACUUCUGGAAGCUCCAGGACUACUGUCUGGGCUGCGGGCAGCCCCACGACCAGGAGGACACGGAGAGCUUUGUGUCCUGCAGUACCCCGGGCUGCCGAGGUCUCUUCUGCUCCACCUGUUUCCGUCUCCUGGACAAUACCUGCUCUGUGUGCGCGGCUCCCCUCUCCCAGCAGGGGGGCCUGGACCUGGAGCUGGACUCCAGUGACGAGGAGGGCCCCCGGCUCUGGCUGGCUGCUGCUCGGACGAAGGGCCCUGAGCAGGAGUGGUUACUGCGGCAGCGGCUGCAGGAGGCCCUGGGCAGGACCCUCACUUCGGAGUCCAGCCCCGAGGUCAGUGACCUGGACGAGGAGAAGGGGCCUCGGCAGAGGACACACAGGUAGCAGCCCCCACCUGAGGCCCAGUCUCUCAGGAUUCCCAGCCUGCCUUGGCCCUCACUGACAUCCUCAGAAAUCCUCUGCCCUCAAAGCAGUCCCCCUCCAGCUUCAGAAGCCCAGCCCCUCAGUCUGUCCUCUCCUGAUCUCUCCCACCUACCCCCAAAAUAAAGGAACCAAAGGCAG